UAUUCCACAAUGGGGGAAACCCUGAUGCAGCGACGCCGCGUGAGUGAGGACGUCUUUCGGUAUGUAAAGCUCUAUCAGCAGGGAAGAAAAUGACGGUACCUGACUAAGAAGCCCCGGCUAACUACGUGCCAGCAGCCGCGGUAAUACGUAGGGGGCAAGCGUUCUCCGGAUUUACUGGGUGUAAAGGGAGCGUAGACGGAAUUGCAAGUCUGAGGUGAAAAUCCGGGGCCCAACCCCGGAACUGCAUUGGAAACUGUAUUUCUAGAGUGUCGGAGAGGCAAGUGGAAUUCCUGGUGGAGCGGUGAAAUGCGUAGAUAUCAGGAGGAACACCAGUGGCGAAGGCGGCUUGCUGGACGAUGACUGACGUUGAGGCUCGAAAGCGUGGGGAGCAAACAG
Molecule: ribosomal RNA, 396 nt
Filed under: uncultured bacterium
Lineage: Bacteria
Description: bacterial SSU rRNA
Rfam family: Bacterial small subunit ribosomal RNA
Source: RNAcentral